CCUACGGGAGGCAGCAGUGGGGAAUAUUGGACAAUGGGCGAAAGCCUGAUCCAGCAAUUCCGCGUGUGUGAAGAAGGCCUUCGGGUUGUAAAGCACUUUAGUGGGGGAAGAAACAGCUUGGCCACACCAAGCCUUGACGGUACCCCAAGAAUAAGCACCGGCUAACUCUGUGCCAGCAGCCGCGGUAAUACAGAGGGUGCAAGCGUUAAUCGGAUUUACUGGGCGUAAAGGGUGCGUAGGUGGUUUUUUAAGUCGGAUGUGAAAGCCUGGGGCUCAACCUCAGAAUUGCACUCGAUACUGGGAAACUAGAGUUCGGUAGAGGGCGGCGGAAUUUCCGGUGUAGCGGUGAAAUGCGUAGAUAUCGGAAGGAACAUCAAUGGCGAAGGCAGCCGCCUGGGCCUGGACUGACACUGAGGCACGAAAGCGUGGGUAGCAAACAGGAUUAGAUACCCUAGUAGUCCACGCCGUAAACGAUGAGAACUUGACGUUGGUUCGUUUUACGAAUCGGUGUCGCAGCUAACGCGAUAAGUUCUCCGCCUGGGGAGUACGGCCGCAAGGUUGAAACUCAAAGGAAUUGACGG
Molecule: ribosomal RNA, 581 nt
Filed under: uncultured bacterium
Lineage: Bacteria
Description: bacterial SSU rRNA
Rfam family: Bacterial small subunit ribosomal RNA
Source: RNAcentral